RNAcentral lists this ribosomal RNA (497 nucleotides) under uncultured bacterium. RNAcentral describes it as "partial 16S ribosomal RNA". It matches the Rfam family "Bacterial small subunit ribosomal RNA", at positions 28 to 507 of the family's 1533-position model. The record is from RNAcentral.
GAUGAACGCUGGCGGCGUGCCUAAUACAUGCAAGUCGAGCGAACGGACGAGGAGCUUGCUCCUUUGACGUUAGCGGCGGACGGGUGAGUAACACGUGGAUAACCUACCUAUAAGACUGGGAUAACUUCGGGAAACCGGAGCUAAUACCGGAUAAUAUAUUGAACCGCAUGGUUCAAUAGUGAAAGACGGUUUUGCUGUCACUUAUAGAUGGAUCCGCGCCGCAUUAGCUAGUUGGUAAGGUAACGGCUUACCAAGGCAACGAUGCGUAGCCGACCUGAGAGGGUGAUCGGCCACACUGGAACUGAGACACGGUCCAGACUCCUACGGGAGGCAGCAGUAGGGAAUCUUCCGCAAUGGGCGAAAGCCUGACGGAGCAACGCCGCGUGAGUGAUGAAGGUCUUCGGAUCGUAAAACUCUGUUAUUAGGGAAGAACAAAUGUGUAAGUAACUAUGCACGUCUUGACGGUACCUAAUCAGAAAGCCACGGCCAACUACGUG